Long non-coding RNA from Dermacentor albipictus, 670 nucleotides. RefSeq lists it as uncharacterized. NCBI's taxonomy places the organism in Eukaryota, Metazoa, Arthropoda, Arachnida, Ixodida, Ixodidae. The record is from RefSeq and is a predicted model, not a curated record.
CAGAUAGGUACUUGUACGCCUAGGGAAAGACGCUGCUAGGUGCUGCUGCUAAAUCCCUGUGGUUUCUGCCGGCUCACGUAGGUUCGUUCGCGUGGUCUUGUUACGCCUCGCUGGAUCGUGUUCAGUCAUGCCGUCCUUGCGCGGCGUCAUUGUCGGCGAGUCAGGUUAAAUUCUUUAAUAGGUCGCGCCUGCGCCUAAUUGAGUCUAUUAAAGACUGCACAUUCAGUUUUGCUGGCUACAGUUCAGUGUGGCUGGCGUGGGCUGUCUCCACGAUGCGCUUCGAGCGUGUCGAUUUCGCCGUUCUUUAUAUUGGCGGAAAUGACCGUGAAAGCAACAUGGAUCUACAAGAAAUAUGCAACAACAUCAAGGCCUUGAUUGUUCAGCGAGACGGCGCCCGUCGUGCUGGUUUUCAAGGUGCUCUCUCGCUGGCUAGAAGAUGCUGAUGCGGAACAGAAAAUGCAAAAACGUCGCUUGCUCAACCGCAAAUUGACGGCUACGCUGAAGCGCAUGCCGUGUCUGCGGAAUUUGAACCCCGAGGCACGUUCACACUGAAGACGGAGCGGCUAAACCGGGCAAAGCUCUUGGCCAGGCGGAUAAAAGCAGGCGUUAAACGAGGCAGCAAGCCCAAUCGCUCGCGGACCACUUUUUUUCCUGCCCGUCAGAGCUGUCC